AUUUUUUUGGUUUCUAGAUUUUUCUAUUUUCUCUCUCUCGCCUACGUGCGAUUCUUCUUCAUCUCCUUCUCUAUUUUUUUGGUUAAAAAUCUCAUAUUAAUCCUUAGUUUUAGUUUUAACCUUUGUAGAUGGCCUUGCUACAGUAAUUUGAGGCCUUGUUUUAGUCUCUUUGGUUUUUUCAAUUGUGAAAUGGAGUGUUUAAGGUUAAGUGGUUGAAGGAUUGGUUAUGGUUUUGGAGAUCCAUGUGAUUGAUGAACAAAACCUAUGUUUUUUGAGUGGUUGAUUUACACUAUACUCUCUUGGAAGGUUAUUUUUCACUAGAGGAACGGGUUCAAUUCCUGAGCCCCCUAGAUUAGACAAUUUUCGGCUGAACUGGGUCAACAAUCUUGUGUUUUUUACGUUUUAUAGUUUUUUUUUUUAUUUCUUGGGCAUUUUGGUGUUUAUUAAUAAGUGUUUUCAUCAAGAAAAACCCAACACUUUUCUUAUUCUACAAGUAGAAUAUUUGAUUGUCUCUGAUGAAUGAUUUGCUACCAUUCUCUAUGUUUAGGAGUGGUGUGUUUCACCUUUUACGGCUUUAUUGUGCCAUGGUACUCCAGUGUCCAACCUAUUAUUUCUAAAAAUAGUUAUGUUGGAUGAUGUUGUUCUCUUUGAUACCUUAUUCAUCUGUUUGUCCUUCAUAUUAAGGGAGUAUCUGUGGAGUGGGUUAUGAUCUUGCCAAUUAUUACAGAACUAAGGGGUUCCACCUCUGAGUAUUCUUUCAUUUGCAAAUACAUUGUUCUAAUGAAAAAUGAAGAUUGUUCUAAUGAAAAAUGAAGAUACAUGUCCAAUUACUGUCGACUUUGCUUCCUGAACAUAUCUUAUUUUUGACCGAUUUCCUCUUCCAUUCUCUUUGGAUCUUAGCUUACAAAUUUGGGAUAUUGAUUGUUUUCCGGUUGUUAUGACUAUAGUUUGGGAAGAAAAUUCAUCCUAAGUGUGUUGUUUCUCACCUGACGAAUAAUUUCUUGUUUCUUGCUUAGUCGAUGAAUUUAUUGAGGUUUGAUUAUUACAAAUUCCUUCAUUAGUACAAAUUGAGGUUUUUUAUUACAAAAUCCAUAAAUCGUUAGAAAUUUCUAGCUACUCCUUGGUUGCUCAUUUUAGAUCAUGCUAGGUAUGGGAUCACAUAAGUGGAAACCUUAAGAAGGAUCUUCAAUAUCAGGCUCAUGUAAGUUGUGUGUUCUUCUAAUUUUCAUUCUCUUUCCCCGUCUUAGUUAUUUUAAUUUGUUAAACCUAUUCUAUUGUGCUUGCAUGAUAUAACUCUGGAUCUGUGAGGCUUAAAUUACUUAAUAAUAUGGUGUUAUAAUGCAACAAAUUGGAUAAAAAAUAGUUUAUUAAGGAAGUGAUUUUCGAUGUUUUAUCAUCAUUGUAUCAAGAGAAUUGCCAUUCACAGUUAACUAAAUAUAAGUUGGCACUAAAUGGUUGACAUGUAGGGCUUGAAACAAACUGCAAUAUGUUGAAUUCUUAGUUCUAAUGGAUCUUUUUCUUACCUCUCCUUUUUCUUAUUUGUUCAUUACCCCUUUAGAGGGGCUAAGUUAUUUAUUUUUCUUUAAUCAUAUAAAUGGAUGAGAUAAUAGAUACACAUCUUCUUGUCUGUUGCAUUUGUUGUUUUCCAGAUUGGCAAAUUAAUUAUUACUAACAUGUCCACAUGGUUCAUGACUUACAGCAUUAACUAUUUUCAAUUUAAUUCUCAACUCAUAAAAUGUUAGUCUUUUUUGGUCGAUGGUCAUUGUAUUAUGAAUACUUAGUGUCAUUGUUUUGUUCUUCAUGAGUUUACAGUUAAAUGUAUUAUGUUUUUGUAAUGAUUGAAUCAUUUUAUGGUUAGGAAUAUUGGAUACAAUUUCGUGAAAUCACAAUUGUGACUUUCUUGUUUGUGAUGCAGGAAGUUCUGAAUCAACUGAGGUCGAGAUGUCAGAUUGCAUGUUGAGAUACCAUGAGAUGGCGGAUUGGCGCAAAGAUGGAAAGUGAUUGCAACACUUUCCUUAAUUGGGGCAAUUUCGAAACGUUUUUGGUAAUUUGGUCAUAACUUUGGCUACGGUUAUCAGAAUAGCUAUUAUAAUCCCAAUUCGAAAAGCUCUUUUCAGUACACACGUUGUUGUCAAGCCAUACUCAAUGGGCAUUAAUUUCGAGGCCAAAAUUUGUUGUUCUCCCGUUCAAAUUUCAAUUUUUAGUUAUUUUUUUCAUUUAUUAUAAUAUUUCGUUUGAUUUUUUCUAGUUGAUUUCAAAUCUGAUUUGAGCCAAAUUUUUGGCAAGUUCCUUCUUUUAUUCCAUAUUUUAUUUUGGUGUGGUUUUCGGGAUUUUGCCAUUUUUGGUAAAAUUUCCAUAAUUUCAUAUUUUUUAGCUAUUUAACCCGACUUGUGAUUAAUUUUCGUAUUCUGCAUUUUAAUAAAGUUAAGUUGAAUUUCAGAAAAUUCUCUCUAUUUCUUGGGCUUUUUCCAUCGUAUUCUUCCUGUGAAUUAUCUAUUGCAACUAGCCUGCAGGAUAAUCACUAUCUCACCCGACGUCAGUUUGUAACAUGGCAGGUAAACUUUUAUGAUGCACAAUGAUGUUGUCUUCUCAGUUGAUUUUAGUAGAGACUCUGAGAUGCUUGCAUCUGGAUCACAAGAUGGAAAAAUAAAGGUUAAGCUUGCUUUCAUUUUCUGCUUUAAUGUGAUUAUUCUCAUGUUGCUUUGUCUUCUAAUUUCCCUAACAUCUAAAAAGAGUUAAAAAAAAGAAGCAUCUAGACUUAUUCAACACAAAAUAACUUAAAGAAGUUAGAGAAUAUUACUUUAUGGUGAGAUAUUAUCCUCCAAAGAAUAUUUUUGGUAUAGCCGGGGAGUAUCAUGACAUCCAUUCUAAUUUGUUGCAAGGUUUUGAAGGACCCUCUAGUGGCUUGUAUUAUACAAUUUGAAAUUCACAAUUGUAAAUCUAUUUAGUAGAUGUUGUUCUCAUCUGUUUGGUUAUAGGUUUAGCGUAUUAGGACAGGUUAAUGCUAACACCGACUGGAACAUGCUCAUUCCCAGGGUGUCAUGAGCCUUGUCUUUUCACGAGAUGGAAGUCGGUUGUUAAGUACAGCAUUUGACAGCACAGCAAGGUUUGAACUCUUAGAGAUGGCUUUUGAAUUGAGCUAUAGUAUCCCCUUAAUCUCAUGCCCUCCACCACCCAAGGAAAAAAAAAAUCAGAAAAGGAUAAGAAGGAUUGUAGAUUCUUGAAAAGGUUCUCAUGAUCCUUACUUUUCUUAUAUUAUACAGAAUUCACGGAUUAAGUCAGGCAAGAUGUUGAAGGAAUUUCAUGGCCAUAUAUCUUAUGUUAACGAUGCCAUCUUUACAAGUGAUGGCUCUCUCGUCAUCUUUGUAUCAAGUGAUUGCACAAUGAAAGUAAGUUAACCUAGCUAUCUAUUAUUAAUUGAGGCCAAAUUUUUCAAGUUUGCUAAUCAUCUACAUGCUGAAUAAAACGAAUGGCAUCUAUAGGUUUAGGAUGUGAAAACUACAGACUGUCUGCAGACCUUUAAGCUGCUACCUCUAGGGAUGGCAAUUUGAACCGUUAAAAUCGAAAAUCGCGGUUAAACGAACCGAAUGGGGUAAAAAAAACCAAACUGAUGGUGCAAUGGGGCGGAUAUGGUAUUUGAUUUUAAGAAACUGGUUCGUGGCAGUGCGAAUAUGGUAUUUAUGCCGUCGAACCGAAAUCGAAUCGAUUAUCCGCUUAAAAAAUCAUUCUUUUAUUAGGUAUGGCAAGGUUUAGUGAGGAGGAAGUUGACAAAAAG
This 3775-nucleotide long non-coding RNA is filed under the name Olea europaea subsp. europaea. The record is from RNAcentral. Lineage: Eukaryota; Viridiplantae; Streptophyta; Magnoliopsida; Lamiales; Oleaceae.